This 253-nucleotide ribosomal RNA is filed under the name uncultured bacterium. RNAcentral describes it as "partial 16S ribosomal RNA". It matches the Rfam family "Bacterial small subunit ribosomal RNA", at positions 524 to 776 of the family's 1533-position model. The record is from RNAcentral.
GACGUAGGGCGCGAGCGUUGUCCGGAUUUAUUGGGCGUAAAGAGCUCGUAGGCGGCUCGUUGCGUCGACCGUGAAAACCCGGGGCUCAACUUCGGGCUUGCGGUCGAUACGGGCGGGCUAGAGUUCGGUAGGGGAGACUGGAAUUCCUGGUGUAGCGGUGAAAUGCGCAGAUAUCAGGAGGAACACCGGUGGCGAAGGCGGGUCUCUGGGCCGAUACUGACGCUGAGGAGCGAAAGCGUGGGGAGCGAACAGG